UACGAAGGGGACUAGCGUUGUUCGGAAUUACUGGGCGUAAAGCGCACGUAGGCGGAUUUGUAAGUCAAGGGUGAAAUCCCGGGGCUCAACCUCGGAACUGCCUUUGAUACUGCAAAUCUCGAGUCCGAUAGAGGUGGGUGGAAUUCCUAGUGUAGAGGUGAAAUUCGUAGAUAUUAGGAAGAACACCGGUGGCGAAGGCGGCCCACUGGAUCGGUACUGACGCUGAGGUGCGAAAGCGUGGGGAGCAAACAGG
This 253-nucleotide ribosomal RNA is filed under the name uncultured bacterium. RNAcentral describes it as "partial 16S ribosomal RNA". It matches the Rfam family "Bacterial small subunit ribosomal RNA", at positions 524 to 776 of the family's 1533-position model. The record is from RNAcentral.